GGCCGGUUACGCAGAAUAAGAGAUUUAUCCGUUCGUGGUUAAAGUGGACGCGUCAUUCCAAAUUACUUGGAGAAGCGUUAGUCAUUUUCGCGUGCGAAACGUCAGCCAAGUCAGUCUGUUAGGCAGGCAGGAAGGAAGUGGUGAGGGGGUGAUGAAAGGAAGGUAGACCUUAACCGAUGACGGCAUCGCAAUUCCACCAUUCCUUCGACUUCCCAACGAUUCUAAUCCGUUGUGCCGUUGAGCUUCUUGUCAACUCGAAUUACAGUCGAUCGUCGUUUCCCGGAAGUUGAGUCGCGCUGGUAAGCCUUGGCCGGAAAGCGAGCAAGUAAGCAAGUGAGCGGCCGAGCGAUGAUUCCAUUGUAUGCACGGUUCGAUUUACUCUGACGAUUCUUAGCGGCAUUCUCACCAUACAGGUUCCCCUUGCAGAUCGAGCACCUGGGAUUGACUUUAAGUCUGGUUUCCAAACUGUCGCAGAGAUUCUUUUACGCGAAAGAGCCAGCUGGGAAGGCCGAAAGGAAGCUUUAUUCAGAAGAAGCGAUCACAGGUUGGUUAAAUUCGAAGCGAAAACCAUGCUGAGGUCGUAGCAGCCUCGUCGACUACUUGAGGAUCCUCUUAAUGUCGCUUAGGAACGUUAACGACGCGUUGCUGACGAAUGGUCCUCUUCUUGCUCACGCACUUGCUCCGGGGAUGAUCCCAGGAGAUGCUCGCCCUAACCUAUCCUUUGGAUGUCACUCUUAGAGGGUUCAAUUCUGGAAUCUCAAGGGACAAGUGUCGGACGUAACACGUCACCCUGCGUAUAACCUGCGACGCACUUUUACACACACGUGUUCAGCCGACUGGGAGCAGCAGUGCGUUUCUAACGAAAAUUCAGGGACGCUUCGCUGGCGUCAUCCGACACCCUGGAUUCAGAAUAUGCAAGGGAACAGUAGAGAGAGGGGUGCGGAUGUGGACUCCCAGCAUCAUCCCCAUGUGUCCGACUAGCUCGUAAAACCACACAUGCCACCAUCUGUGCACGCGUUGCUCUCCUACGUUACGACUACGGAGGGUCCAUGUCGCCUGGUGGUCAUUUCUGGUACUAGGACUACAUCGGACCUAAAAUCAACUCUGCCUACUCGCUUGAUUCAGCAUUCGAUCCGGCACCGCAAGAGCAUCCUGGAGCAGGCCAAGAGACGUCAAGAAGAGAGGAGAAGCAGCGUGCGAAGCGAUCUCACUUGAGACAAUUGCUGCCGGUAACGUGACCGUUGCUGCCUCCAUCAAGCUUCAUCAGGGUGAUUAGCGAACGACGUACUCCGCGGGUCGUCCCUCUAGAUUAGCCUCCACCUCCUCCAUUCCAUCGUCCCUCUUUCCAGCAUCACCAACACCAUCACCAGCAGCAGCCACCUCCUUCUCAUCUUCUAUCGACUAUAUUGGUGAUACUGAUGCUGCUGAUACGAGCCUGGUCCUGCUAGGAAUCAUUGUACCGGAGGGAAAUCUAUUUGGGCCCCUCAAGAGGAUCACGCAACGAGUUGACCCUGUUAUACGAGCAGGGCUAGGACCUUGAAGCGUCCGAAUGCGCCUACUCUGGGCCCACUUUAUUCACUCCCAGAAAAAUCUAUAUUAAUUUUAAUGGUUAAGCUCCCUCGGCUCUUUGAGUAACAAGGGGGUGGCCACGAGGUACUGUAGCGUGUAGUGGUAUUGAUGUGGGAAAAAUCGCGGCCACGGAUUUACCUCGUGGACCAGUAAGCAUCGUUAAUGGGGUCUGUUUGAAUUAUCGUUUGUUAACAGCAUCCCCUCUUUUAAUUAAUUUUAAUUCUUUUACUUGGCCACUCUCACGAUUUUAUUCGGGUCUAGUUAUCGUACAGCUCUGUAGCUCAUGUUUAUGUCUUGUAAGAUGGAUUUUGAUUUUUUGGAUUUUCAUAUAAUUGGAAAUUAAGAGGCCGCAAGCCAAGUUUAUACGGCAUUUGGUAUACGUCGCGUUCAGGGGUGUAAUCGAGUGAAUUCUGGUGGGAGAAAAGGAAGAAAGAUGUAGUGGCUAGCAGAGGGAUAGAUUGUGGACCAGGGGGGUUCGCACAGAGGGUGAAGCACAAACUCAGCAGUUUCAAGCAUAACCGCUCUACGACCCCCCGUCAACCCCCUAAAUCUCGCCGCACCCCGAGUGCGCGCUUAGCGUAUUAGUCAUUCGUGGCGCAGCUGGGAACGGUCCCCAGGGUGCGAGUCUCCCCGUGAGCGAAUCAAUCCGGGCUUACCGGAGACUCCAGAGACACGCGGAUGUGUGGGGUACACACAUGGAUGACCCUCUGACCUAUGCGUGAACCGGUGACGGCACUUUUAUCUUUACUUUCAGUGAGGUCACACUGAGCUUUAUGCUAAUGGAAAUGUCUUUUCUACAUUUUAAGAUGACGGAGAUACGUCGACCAGGAAGUUUAAUUGAUUUUGGAGUAGUUACCAGAGGUCGAGGCUCAGUCUUCGUCGCCACUUGGAAAGCGACCUUCGACUUCAAAGGGGCCAUCGGGGAUAUCGGACAGGGGGCAGCCCUCUCCUCCUUUUGGGUUCCAGCCGGUUCUUGCCGUGGGGGUGAACGUUGUUUGUCGGAAAUGGGGUUCCUGCUAAUGCCCUGCGGCCGAAUCAGCCCUUCCUGGUAGCUGCUUUUAUCAGUCGCUGUUCCCAAGGGACGGAGAAGAGGAACGUCUGGAGCGAAGCUGCUCAAUUUUCGAGGGAAUCGAUCCUGGCUCCUCGAGGAUAGCUUGCUCGAUCCCAUCAUCCUCUAAGAACCCGGAGGAAGACACCUACGUGUUUUGCUGUUACCAAAGGGUGCGCUGCCGUCGAAAAACAUACGGAUAGGCGUGCUUUAUUCUAAGCUGCGAAAGGUCCAGCUACGUCGUCGGGUUCCUUUGUAACCUAAGCUUUGUAUAAAGGAGUCUUCACACCGGGCCAAGGCGCUCCUGCAUCCAGCCACUCUAAAUGAUGAGAUUUUACCGAGCGUGGGGAGCCGCAUUAAAGUAUUGCACCAUACUGACGAUGAUGCUUCGUGUGGCAGCACCAGCGGCAAGAGGGACGUUGACUGGACUAGCUUUAUGGUCGCGCCGAACAAUGAUACACCCUGACGCUAUUGUAGUCAAGCUAGUGAGCGAGUCGGAGAGAGAGAGAGAGAGAGAGAUCUUUAGUGGGGAGAGAGAGAGGGACAGUGAAGGAGCGUCGCACCGGUGACAGUCACUCGCUGCUGAUUACACGGACCAUUAUGCAAGCACAACGUCGACCGCGUAAAAAAAAAGCUCAGCCUCCCUUGACUUUUACUCAUUCCCCCCUUCAAGUUUACUUCUGCUCCGUUAUCCAUUCCAUCUUUUUUUUAGUCUUUCGCUGAUUUUGAAUUACUAAAUUUUGAAAAUCAUCAUUCACUAUUUACAUUGCCAUUUUCCCAUCUGCUAUUGAUCUAAUUACAGUAUUCUUUUGACUCGUGAUUCGAAACAUAAUUCGAUAGGAUUUUUUUAUAGACAGUACGAAUACACCGAUACAAUAAAUGUAAAUCGUCAACUGGGUUUUUCCAAUAAUAAUUAUCUCAACUGGUUAAUGUUAGGUUAUGGAAUCAAACGCUCAGCAAGUAUAUAAAACUGAUAUUUAUUAUCACGAAUUAAAUUAGGUACCUGACAAUAUUGCAUAUCUAUGAUAAUACCGUAUCAAUUUAAUGUCUACAGAUAAGAUUGAUACGUCACCAAGAAACGUAGAGAACUUAAAAAUUUUUCAUAGCGUCCAGAGUAAAAUCAAAUUUUUAUUAACUCACUCUGUACUGACAAUUAACGAGUUCGAUGAAAUCCGUGUAUUAGAAAUUUAUCGAUACCGUCACAUUUUCGUAUUUUUGGUUCUGCCAAAAAAAAAAUGUUCGCAACACAAUCAUUCAAGGACAUUCAAGUAGUUCCAAGAUCAGGUACCUUAUUUAUUUUCCACUCGAAUUUCUUGGAUUUUCGAUAUCUACAUCCGAUAAUAGCAGUUUGUCGUUAGGUAUCUGAUAAGGGGCGUGGGAUACCGUGACGUCACAGAUAAGAAUUAUUUAUUUCCGAAACAACAAGAAAGAUCGGUAAUAGACAUCGCACUUACGCGAUAAAAUGUAGUCGCUGUGUAUUUCGCGCGUAUCUCGAGUGUUUCGAAUAAAUCGUAUGAAAUAACGUGUAUCUACACGUACACGACAUAACUACUGUUUGCACUGAAAAGUCACCUAUAGCAAUAAUAUACUAACGAGGCAUUAGUGGAUAAUAAUAAGAAAAAAUUAAAAAAAAAAAUACAAGACACUCGUCGAAGACGGUGCUGCGUCAGAGCGUCGCGACGCAUUCACGCUUUUCACAGCCCUUUAAUUAUGUUGUUUCAGUUGGUUAUUUCACGAGAGGGGUUGGUCGGGGAGAUGAAUGUCCAUAGUAUUUUUGUUAUAUCAAUCACUGACACGAGUAUUAAUUCCAUUGACGUAAAAUUCAAUCAAUUCUUUUGACCAAUGAGUUUCAGGAGACGACGCUGAACGUCCAUGAAAGACCAUAGAGACGAAGGACAAUGGCCUUUACAUGGCUCUGCAUUCCCCUUUCGAUCGAUCAUCGAUACCCAAUUAGUCCUAGAGGCUCGUUAAUUAGUCGAUGACCGGCUAAUGAAUAAUUAAAGAACAGGAGCUCCCUCUGCGGGACGGGAGCCAACAUCCUGGAUUACUCAGAUUAGCUGGAUCACCAGAAGAGUUGGAGCAAGUCGAUACGAGAGCGAGGAAUCGAUGACUCCGCCUGAUGGGAUCUACCAAGAAGUAUAUUCCUGAGGAGUGAAGUUGGCAGAGGAAAAGUUGAGCCUGACGUCAACGUUCGGGAAUUUCCGGUUCUACUAUAUCGUCAUACUUGAUUGAAGAUGCAGGAUAGGAAGCAAAAAGGAGAAAGAGAAUUCCUGAAACUUUUUACAGUGGAAUCAUCGUCCUGAAUUUCAAGAGACUCUUGCACAGAAUCCUCGGGAUUGGAAUCCGGAGAAAAAAAAACAAAGCUUUGCCAAUCACUGGCCAAUGAAAACGAAACGCUCAUCUUCGAGCGGGAAGUGACGGCAGCAGUGACCAUCGUCAGGGAACACCGCGGAACGGCGAGGAUGCUGUGCUCCCGAGUAUCUAGCAUCCCGAGUAUGCCGAUCCACGAUUAUACGGAGUCUUUAGAAGAUGAGAACAGGUAGACGGGACGUAAAGGAGUCUGGUAUCCCUACCGGAAGCGAAGGAGACUCGAUCAGUGGAGGUUAGAAUGAGUCCUGAUCCGAAGGAAGGUUCAAGCCUUGGUCUCUCUCGCUCUCCCGAUCUCUCGCAGGGUCGCCAUGCCGCCACAUCGCCACGCGUGAUCGAGUUACCUGGAGCGGCGAACGUCGAGGCACAGGUGAGGAUAUCAAUGUACCUCAAGGAUUCCGAGUCCUCACCCAGGAUUAACGACGGCGACACGCGAACCCUUUCGACGCGAACAUCGACACCAUCGGCAGUUGCUUCAUCCUCCGGCUGCGGUUUCCCUCUCUAUGGCUAUAAUGUCGCAAGAUCCUGUACCCCUGUGAAUUCGUGCCCGAUUUUGGAAACAAGAAACACUAUACCUUCCGCCACAUCGAUUACGAGCUCUUGAGAGUACAUGGAAACAGCCAACUUCAGUGUUGGAUCGUAAAAUUCCAAACGAUUCGUUGCGAGUCUACCCGUGGUGCAGCUUGGGAAUAGGUCGAGCACGACGUCGCAAAUUGCCUGAAUUAACACUCCAGUGGGGUCGUCCGUUCGUUGCGAUGAAAAUCGUCCCUUGCCUACUCAGGAAUCCUACGGUAAUCCUUGAAUAUCCUACUUCUCACUGAGUCAAGAGGUUCCUCUCUGGAAUGCGCUCAUUUUAUGAGGGAUGAAGUGGAUCCGCAGUACUUCUGAAGUCUCUCACUGGAUACUGAUUGCGGGAGAAGAUCUCUUGGUGCGGUCAAAACAUCAGCAGCCUGGCUAGAUUGAUACAAACUGAGUCGAAAUGAUCUCAAUUAGACAUUCGGCCGUCGCAAACCGACGACAAUUUAGUCGCUACACUUACACUGAACGUCUCAGGGAGCAGGAACUUCGGGACGCCGUCACGUAACAAGAGUUAGAGGUUGAGCUUGUCUAAUUAAGCAGCGAGCGUAGUUAAUCCCGGAAAUGGCAAGUUUUCAGGUUAAUCCCUAAAGACUGGUCAAUUUCCGGAGGAUCCCAGGCGCUCCUAACUUCCGGGAAGGUAUUAGGACCCCAGGAGUUUAUAUUACUUUCUACCAGGACACAGGAAGGUUACCAUAUUAAUCAAAAUCAAACAUCAACUGUUUCACAAAAUGGCAUCCAGAGCUUAUACUUUGCCUUUUGAAGAUCCUACACUUCCGGAAAGAAACGGCACUCGUUCAACGGCAAAGAUGACGCCGAUGGCGUUCACCGCAUGGUUUCGGCUUAGUCGAGUUUGGGAAGUAUCAAUGACGUAUCGAAUGACGUAUUGAAUGACGCAUGUACCUGGAACCGAUGAGAUCUAAAAUGUCAAGAUAUCUCUACUAAAUCAUGAGGCAGGACAAAGGUCUCAAAGCUGGAGGAACUUGUCCAGCGAUGGAAUGAGGAAUAAGGAAUGAGGAAGGAAGAAGGUUAGCUGAAGGAUUGAAGAAGGAAGCGCGAUCCAGCAUGGGCGUCAUUUUUCACUAUUAAGUUAAUCCGUUGUCGGAAGAGGGGGCCCACGCCCUGCUGAGAUUAC
Cephus cinctus (wheat stem sawfly) is the source of this 6695-nucleotide long non-coding RNA. RefSeq lists it as uncharacterized. The record is from RefSeq and is a predicted model, not a curated record. Lineage: Eukaryota; Metazoa; Arthropoda; Insecta; Hymenoptera; Cephidae. The transcript has 16 exons.